Molecule: long non-coding RNA, 278 nt
Filed under: Pan paniscus (pygmy chimpanzee)
Lineage: Eukaryota; Metazoa; Chordata; Mammalia; Primates; Hominidae
Description: SOX2 overlapping transcript exon 3 (ENSPPAG00000020999.1)
Rfam family: SOX2 overlapping transcript exon 3
About the family: SOX2 overlapping transcript (SOX2OT) is a long non-coding RNA, containing at least 5 exons.
Source: RNAcentral
UGGCAAAGCUAGGCUAGGUCUUGGAGGCUGGUGUAAGGCGAUGCGGGUGAAGGCAGGAGGCUGAUGGAGAGACUGGGGGGAAGAAAAGCCGAAAUGGACUUCACCGGUGCCUUGGAUGAAGGACGAGAGGGGAACUGCAAGCUCCUUCAACUGGUUCUGUCCGGUGAGAAGUGAUCAAGCUUGGGCUGACAAGAGGCUCAGGGAGCCCUCACGUUCUUUCGCUUUUUUACCUGCCAAUCAAACUGCUACAAGACAACACCCUGAUCUGGCAUGGACAU